GGGAGUGUCUAAAAUAAACUAUUGAGGUUUGGAGAGAAAAUAUUAGAAUUGACAUACUUUAUGUCCUUUUUAAUUUGUAUUUUAUAUAUUUUGUAAAGUAUACGUAAAAAUAUAUGUAUAAAGCAGUACAUAUAUUUAUGUAUAUAUGUACACACACAGCUGGACGAAUAUUGGAAUUUCUUUUAGUGAUUGUGCAGACUUUAGUCUUGGGAAUCUGGAAGGGAUCUGAGAGAUCAUCAUACCCAAACCUUCAUUUUACAAAUAAAGAUUCUGCAGCCCCUGGAAGUGGAAAUUUCUGGUCAAAGACAUGUUAGCCACAGAGGCCCCUCUCUCCUAACUCCCAUUUCAGUGCCGUUUCGGCUCCAGUGUACUGCCUGCCUUCUUAAUGAAGCCUACUUGAGAAAAUGAGACCAACAUGGUGCUCAGUAAUGCCCCUGACAUAGCUGGGCAACUUAUGGGAAACUGUCAGACUUGUUCCUCCAACAUAGCACAAAUUUCAACUGUUGAUACGUAGAAUAGUUUCUUUUUUGGUGAAAAGUGGCAUCUGGUCAAUUUCCCCACUGCCAGUAGAGUCCGCCUGCUCUUGUCGCAUUCUCAUUGGCCAGCUCUCAUGGGCCAGCAUCUGCCUUCUUUUCCUGUGGAAAUUAAAUAGAAGGGCAGGAGAAAGGACAUAUUUGGUAAUGUUACGCUCCUCAGCUUCCUGCUCAGGGCUGUCUCAGCUGCAAAAUGUCAAGGGAAAAAAUAUCCCUCCAACUUGGAAUGAAUUCCAGACAGACCCUGAUGCCUGCAAAUUUGUCAGAGGGAGCCAAGUCCAGCAAGCAGAACAUGAAGAAGGCUCAUUAUUCGGCUUCAAGAGACGCUCAAAUAAUCAGACACUCUGGUAUUUAUGAUUUUCCCCAUUUCAGAUGGUCUGUAGUUCACAACGUUCCCCUCCCUUUACCGCUGAUUCUGAGCUUCCUUUUAAAUUAAACCUCAACAGUUAUAAAAAGACUCUCACAUUACUUGUAAGCCACAAGCACUCCUGGGAGACACCGUUCCUACAGGGCCGCUCAGUGCUGGAGAAGGGCGGUUUUUCUUGAUUUUUAGUGUGGGGAGGGCAGGCCAGGAAGUCAGACUCGCUUCACCUUGACCAUGCCACGGUCCUCAUCUAGUUUCGACAACUGUGCCAGGACCGCCUGCUACUCGCUGCAUCUGAUAUGAUGAGCUUUACUAAAAGCUGGUUAUUUCAUUCCGUUGACUUUCUUUUUCACUUUAGCUAGUUUUCAUCAUGGAGCAUGGAAUAACCAGAAAGUUUUUCCUGACACUCCUGGUUUGUGAAUACACCAGGACUGUUUGUAAGGUUGAGUUUUGGGGGAUCUUAGUCUUUUCCUGGCAUUCAGUCCGUUUUCUUUCUCUUUUAAAACCAUUGCCACAUGCUGGCAAAAAGGCAAGGAAACAGAACUUGUAAUCCAAACCUCAUUAAAUUGCUACAUACGCAUUUUCCCUUCUACUUCUUGCUCUUCAUUUCGAAAUGCCACGGCUUGUGUUUGUACUCGGUCACCUUGAAUCCUUAUUUGGGUUCUCCAACAGGCACGAGGGCAUCCAAAGAUCAGUUUUAGCAAGCAGUGGAAGUGCCCACAUGAGGAAUGGGGUGUUCCGUCUUCACAUGUGGUCUCCAUGAAUAAGGGUCUUCUUUCUUCCUUUUCCUAAACUGUCCAGCAUCUCAACUCUGGUUUUGCUCCUCAACAGUCUCAGGUUUGUGCUACUUCCAUGGUGAUCAACUGUUAGGUCAUAAACAUUAGAUUGUGGCAUCACCAAAUGAGUCAGAUGGGAGGAAGCUGGGCUGGAAAUACAGCUGCAAGCCUCUGUUGACAGAUGGAUGCCUUCUUAAUCACAGCCUGCGUCUCUCACAGGACAUCCACUAAGAGGAGGGGGAAAGUGAAGAAGGAAGCUCUUUCCGGUCACUUUUUGAGUGUCAGCAAAGAGAAAAUAGAGCUGCAGCAAGCUGAUCAGAAGUUGCACGUCACAGCAGCCUGACAAUCAAGUGAGAGAGGCUGCUACUGAUGGACCAUCAGUGACCAUGGAGAUUCUGAAUCCCUGAAGCACUUGACAAAAGAAAUCUUGUGGGUGAUGUGAAAAUCCACGUAUGCCCAUGAGAGUAUAUUGAGCGCAUGAAUGUGUGCUUAGUGUGUCAUUAAGAAGAGAAGUUUGUGAGCCACUGUUUUGGAGUAAGAAAUAGCACAGAAGACUUCAAUUUUGGCCUGAAAUUGCUUCUUUAGUCGCUGGCCAUCAGAUAUGUGGAAAGCAUCAUGUUUCACUUUGACCUAGAUUUGUAAUGACAGGAUGCACCAAAUUCCUUCACUGAAGUGAAACCUUAAAGAAUCUUUAAGUAGAACUUGAAAGUGUCAAAGGGCAUUUUACCGUAGUUAGUGUACAUUUCUUGACAAGA
Molecule: long non-coding RNA, 2428 nt
Filed under: Equus caballus (horse)
Lineage: Eukaryota; Metazoa; Chordata; Mammalia; Perissodactyla; Equidae
Description: lncRNA (ENSECAG00000050660.1)
Source: RNAcentral